RNAcentral lists this transfer RNA (69 nucleotides) under Dugong dugon (dugong). RNAcentral's name for it is "transfer RNA-His". It matches the Rfam family "tRNA". Rfam says of the family: Transfer RNA (tRNA) molecules are approximately 80 nucleotides in length. Their secondary structure includes four short double-helical elements and three loops (D, anti-codon, and T loops). Lineage: Eukaryota; Metazoa; Chordata; Mammalia; Sirenia; Dugongidae. The record is from RNAcentral.
GUAAAUAUAGUUUAACUAAAACAUUAGAUUGUGAAUCUAAUAACAAAAGCUCAACCCUUUUUAUUUACC